RNA transcript from Hipposideros armiger (great roundleaf bat), 2760 nucleotides. It is a transcript of the gene named alpha-L-iduronidase, with no coding region annotated. The transcript has 15 exons. NCBI's taxonomy places the organism in Eukaryota, Metazoa, Chordata, Mammalia, Chiroptera, Hipposideridae. The record is from RefSeq and is a predicted model, not a curated record.
UGGUCACGUGGCGCGCGACCCGGAGGCGGAACCCGCCGGCUUGGCGCAGAGCUUGGCUCCGGGAGCGCACCGAGGAGCCCGAGGAGGGCCUGCAGCGGCCCGGGGUGUCCCCGCGCCGCGCCCCGGCCAUGCGCGCCCGGGUCGCGCUGCUCGCGCUCCUGGCGGCGCUGCUGGCCGCUCCCCCAGCCGCCUUGGCCGAGGCCCCGCACUUGGUGCGCGUAGACGCAGCCCGCGUAGCGUGGCCCCUGCGCCCCUUCUGGAGGAGCACCGGCUUCUGCCCUCCACUGCCACACAGCCGGGCUGACCAGUAUGACCUCAGCUGGGACCAGCAGCUCAACCUGGCCUACGUGGGCGCCGUCCCUCAUGGUGGCAUUGAGCAGGUCCGGACUCACUGGCUGCUGGAGCUCAUUACGGCCAGGGGGUCAGCUGGGCAGGGCCUGCACUACAACUUCACCCAUCUGGACGGGUACCUGGACCUUCUCAGGGAGAACCAGCUCCUCCCAGGCUUUGAGCUGAUGGGCAGCCCCUCAGGACUCUUCACCGACUUUGAAGACAAGCAGCAGGUGUUUGAGUGGAAGGACCUGGUCUCCCUCCUGGCCCGGAGAUACAUCGGUAGGUAUGGACUGGAGCACGUUUCCAAGUGGAACUUCGAGACGUGGAAUGAGCCAGACCACCACGACUUUGACAACGUGUCCAUGACCGUGCAAGGCUUCCUCAACUACUACGACGCCUGCUCCGAGGGUCUCCGAGCGGCCAGCCCCACCCUGCGCCUGGGCGGCCCCGGGGACUCCUUUCACCCUCCGCCACACUCCCCGCUGUGCUGGGGCCUCCUGGGGCACUGUCACCACGGCACCAACUUCUUCACCGGGGAGGUGGGCGUGCGGCUGGACUACAUCGCCCUCCACAAGAAGGGCGCGGGCAGCUCCAUCGCCAUCCUGGAGCAGGAGAAGGCGGCCAUGCAGCAGAUACAGCAGCUCUUCCCCAAGUUCGCCGACACCCCCAUUUACAACGAUGAGGCAGACCCGCUGGUGGGCUGGUCCCUGCCGCAGCCGUGGAGGGCCGACGUGACCUACGCGGCCAUGGUGGUGAAGGUCAUCGCGCAGCACCAGAACUUGCUGGUGGCCAACGCCAGCUCCUCUAUCCGCUAUGCGCUCCUGAGCAAUGACAACGCCUUCCUGAGCUACCACCCGCACCCCUUCACCCAGCGCACGCUCACCGCGCGCUUCCAGGUCAACAACACGCGCCCGCCCCACGUGCAGCUGCUGCGCAAGCCGGUGCUCACCGCCAUGGGGCUGCUGGCUCUGCUGGACGAAGAGCAGCUCUGGGCCGAGGUGUCACAAGCAGGGGUGGUACAGGACAGCAACCACACUGUGGGGGUCCUGGCCAGUGCCCACUACCCCACAGGCCCCGCCGAUGCCUGGCGCGCCACAGUUCUGGUCUAUGCGAGCAACGACACCCGCGCCCACGCCAACCGCAGCGUCGCUUUGUCCCUGCGCCUGCACGGGGUGCCCCUGGGCCCGGGGCUUGUGUACGUCACCCUGUACUUGGACAACCAGCUCUGCAGCCCCCACGGCGAGUGGCAGCGCCUUGGCCGGCCAGUGUUCCCCUCACCAGAGCAGUUCCGGCGCAUGCGUGAGGCCGAGGACCCUGUGGCCACAGCGCCGCGCCCCUUCCCCGCCAGUGGCCGUCUGACGCUGCACCCCGAGCUCCCACUGCCCUCGCUGCUACUGGUGCACGUGUGCGCGCGCCCCGCGGAGCCGCCAGGCCAGGUGACCCAGCUCCGCGCUCUGCCCCUGACCCACAGGCAGCUGCUUUUGGUCUGGUCCGACGAGCGCAUUGGCUCCAAAUGCCUGUGGACGUAUGAGAUCCAGUACUCCCAGGAUGGUCAUGUGUAUGCUCCCAUCAGCCGGAAGCCAUCGACGUUUAACCUCUUUGUGCACAGUCCAGACACAGCCGUUGUUUCUGGCUCCUACCGGGUUCGAGCGGUGGACUACUGGACCCGGCCAGGCCCCUUCUCAAACCCUGUGUGGCACCUGGAGGUUCCUGCCCCCUGAGGGCCACCUCUGUCCAGUGACUGUGAGCCUCUGUUGAGCAGUGAACCCCGGGCAGCCAGGGGCCAAGCAAAGACACUGCACCUAGACCUCAGCCAUGCUUGCCAUCACCACGGGCUACAUGUCAUCUGUCAUUCGGCACCGACCUGGCAAGUUACACAGAGAACACGGAAGGGAUCCCCUGCGUCAUCAUGUGUCUGAUAUGGGGACCGAUCUGUGCAGCUUUCCCAUGGAGGGACCACCGGGGGGCACAGAGGGAUGUCCCAAUAGCCCCCCACCCAGGUCAGGGGACCAAUGUGGGGACGCUGCACAGGUUAUGUGGCCCCGUGUGACCAACAAUGAUGGUUCUCAGGUGUCUUGGGGUCAGCACAGGCUCAGGGCCAGUAGGCAGCAGCCCCCGGGAAGUCGGUGCUUCCCAGUCUGCAGGACAGUUACCUGAAGAGGGCACAGGGGCCCCUUCCAAUCUUGGGAACAUGCCAGCAGCUGCAUUGUGGGCUCCUCAGGGAUGCAGCCUCCCCGUCCGCAGUCUCACUGUGACAAGAACUGCCCAGUACACCCUCACUCAGUCUGCACGUGCUCCCAGCAGCGUCUCAUCUGCUGGGCCUUGCGUUAGUCGGCCAUCUCGUGUUUGACAAGGACCCCUGAGGGGCCAUGGCCUCAGCAACCGUGUGUGUGUGUGUGUGUGUGUGUGUGUGUGUGUGUGUGUGUG